UACGAAGGGGGCGAGCGUUGUUCGGAAUUACUGGGCGUAAAGGGCGCGUAGGCGGCCGAUCAAGUCAGAUGUGAAAGUCCUGGGCUUAACCUGGGGACUGCAUUUGAUACUGAUUGGCUUGAAUGCAGGAGAGGAUAGCGGAAUUCCCAGUGUAGAGGUGAAAUUCGUAGAUAUUGGGAAGAACACCGGUGGCGAAGGCGGCUAUCUGGACUGUGAUUGACGCUGAGGCGCGAAAGCUAGGGGAGCAAACGGG
RNAcentral lists this ribosomal RNA (253 nucleotides) under uncultured bacterium. Its description in RNAcentral is "partial 16S ribosomal RNA". It matches the Rfam family "Bacterial small subunit ribosomal RNA", at positions 524 to 776 of the family's 1533-position model. The record is from RNAcentral.